UGGGGAGAUAAAAACGGCCGCCGGCGGCCACUUCUGCGUCGAGCUGCAUCGCCGUCAAGGUUUCGGGACUGCUUGCGGUAUGCGGACGGAUCAUGUCGGCCUGCCACGACUACUGGAGUUGGAGGCGGCGGGUGGUACGGGAUGGCUGCUGCUGCUGCCGCCGCCGCCGCCCCCGAGCUUCCGGCUGAUGCUGUGGAUCGCCGGGUUGGAGCGCAGGUAGCCGAAGAGGCUGUUGCGGUGGAACGGCAGCGGCGUGGUGGCCGUCGUCCGGCGCCGCGCGUCCUCGGCCGCCGCCGCCCCCCGGGGCACGGCGUACGGCAUCGGCAUGUCGCUGGCCGACGCCGCGGAGCCUCUCCCCUUGCGCAUGGACGCGCUGCCGUCGCCGCCGGUCCGCAGCGUCUGCUGGGACGACGACGACAGCAUGGUGUACUUGAACAGCGGGUCCUUGCUGCCGCCGCCGGUGGUGGCGCGGCCCUCCGACGCGCUGCGGAACAGGAACAGGUCCUUGAGCCGCCACUUCUUGCUGCCGCUGCCGCAGCCCCGCAUCAUGGAGGUUCGGGGAGACGGAGGGGACUCCUCGUCGUCGUCCACGCCUCCUCCUCCGCCGCCGCCGCCCCUGACCCUGAACGGGGACAGAGACCUCGUGGCCCUCCUACUCCUCGACGAGGCCGCCGCCGCCGCCGCCGCCGUCGAGGCGGCGGGUCUGUAGCCCGACCUGCCUCUCUCCAACGGUGCCUCCGCCCGACGAUCCGCGCCGCCGGCUCUUCUCGGGGACCACCGAGGGCCACCGGAAUAGGAGGAGCUCGAGGCGUCGUCGGCCAGCGGGAUGCUCGGGUGCGGCGUGUUCAGCGGCCGGAUCCUGCCGCCCUCGAAGAGCUCGUCGGCGGCCGCGAGGGUCGGCGUGGCCUCCUGCAGCUGCCCGCUGAAGCCGAGCGUGAAGUCGAACGUGGCCUCGUCGCCCGAGCCCGGCGUCGUGGUCGUGGCGGUGGCGGCGCCCCCCGCGCAGCUCGCCCUGGACGGGCUCGUCGGCGCGCUGGAGUAGAAGUAGCAGUAGGCCGGGAGGUGGUCGCCGGCGAUGGCCGCGGUUCUUGGGCUGCACGGCGCACUUGGCGCCAUGACAGGCACCACCACCUCCAUCUCGAAUCCUCCUCGUUCGCUUCUGGCUCUCUCUCUCUCUUUACCACCUCCUAUCCUAUGUCGUCUUUGCUUGCUUGCUUGCUCCUUUAAAAGGCCUUGGGAUUUCGUUUUUGUAGAGUCAAGUUUUUGGCUGGGAGUACUAUACUGGUAGAGAGAGAGAAAGGUAUUCCUCAUACUCCAACCGAGGAAGGCAGAAGGAAGCUCGAGAGAGAGAUAGAGAGAUGGAGACGUUAAAAGCCGUCUCCAAUUAAGACAUCAACCAUGCAUGUGGUCGUAUACACAACUUGGUUUAGUUUAAUACUAAUAAUAUAAAGCAC
This 1454-nucleotide unclassified non-coding RNA is filed under the name Zea mays. RNAcentral's name for it is "misc RNA Zm00001eb109470". The record is from RNAcentral. Lineage: Eukaryota; Viridiplantae; Streptophyta; Magnoliopsida; Poales; Poaceae.